CAAGGGAGUGCCCUUCGGGAACCUGGAGACAGGUGCUGCAUGGGCUGUCGUCAGCUCGUGUCGUGAGAUGUUGGGUUAAGUCCCGCAACGAGCGCAACCCCUACGUUUAGUUGCUAACAGGUGAAGCUGAGCACUCUAGACGAACUGCCGUUGACAAAACGGAGGAAGGUGGGAUGACGUCAAAUCAUCAUGCCCCUUAUGUUCUGGGCUACACACGUGCUACAAUGGCCGGUACAGACGGAGGCGAAGCCGCGAGGCGGAGCAAAUCCGAAAAAAGCCGGUCUCAGUUCGGAUUGCAGGCUGCAAUUCGCCUGCAUGAAGUCGGAAUCGCUAGUAAUCGCAGGUCAGCAUACUGCGGUGAAUACGUUCCCGGGCCUU
This 378-nucleotide ribosomal RNA is filed under the name uncultured Pelotomaculum sp. Its description in RNAcentral is "bacterial SSU rRNA". It matches the Rfam family "Bacterial small subunit ribosomal RNA", at positions 1007 to 1382 of the family's 1533-position model. Lineage: Bacteria; Bacillati; Bacillota; Clostridia; Eubacteriales; Desulfotomaculaceae. The record is from RNAcentral.